ACAUUGCACACCUGGUUAAGGCAGACAAGAACUGAAAUAUCUUUCUACCUGAAUUUGCAGGGCUGAGGGGGAGAAUCUUAAAAGUUCGAGUGUAAUGACCUUACAUGGGAAUUUGAACCCAAAAUGAAGAGUUAAAACUUGCCUCAUAAUAAAAGAUGGAUAAAGCCAUUAUUAUCAAAGAGAGGGUCUGCCAGGCACCGGGCUAGGGCAUGUCUUUGAGGUGGAGCGGAAGGCUGCCUCCUACAGCGUUAUUGAGGGUCCCAAGUACAGGGUGAUUUCUCUUCUGUGUAGACCCAAGACCCAAAUCACCCCAGGAAUAUAGGCAAGAGCCGGUGGUGGGCUGCAACAGUUGUGCAGAAGCGGUCAGUGACCCCAUAGAAAGAUGAGCUUUGGGCAAGCACAGACAGGAAGGGUGAAUGAACCCUGACGGUUUAGCAAAGCAAGGCCCAGGUAGUUACAGUAAGAGGUGGUCUUGUCCCGUUCAGUGCUCUGUUAAUUAUCCAUGUGAGCAGGAAUUGUUUCUCUGGAGCAGUUACUGAUACAGAUAUUGAAACAGUUAAUGAAACUCCAUCUGUAUAGCGGCUUCCAAGUGGGAGUGCAGGCUGAAUUCAUUAGUUUCACAUGUUCAGCUUUUUUUUUUUUAAAGCCAGGAGAAAACCCACAGUCCAAACAAACAGCAUUUGUAAAGUUCUGAAAAGACACUGCUACUGGAAAUGAGGAGAUGGGGGGAAAAAUGAAUAAAUGCUUUCAAGCAAAUGCUACUUACUUUAAAAUGAAAAACAAUGGUAAAGGUUUCCAUAUGUAAUUAAAAUCUCAUCCUUGAAGUUACCAUUGCCACUGGCUCCCAAAGAACUCAAUUAACAGGAAACUGCAAAGAAUAUGGUAUUUUCUUCAAGAUACUUUAAGAAGUACUACUAAGAAGACAAUAGGUUGGAGAGUAGCUUUUACCACUAAAUGAUAAGCAAUUACUGUUCCUUCCAGGGUAGAAGAAAAGGGAGUAUGCUAAGAAAAGUAGGUUCAUAAUAUAAAAUUAGAUUUUCAAGUGUGCAUAUUUACCCCUAGACCUAAGCUGAAAAUGAAACGUUUGUGCAAAGUCCAAACUUGACUAAGAAAAUUCUUUAAAAAUAUACCACAACCCCUCCCCUCCCCCACCAUUCAGCCUAUUUCACCUGAGAAAGGAAAGGCACUCCCUACAUGGGCACUUGACUGAGGUCUCCUUGUUCAGACUUGCUUAAAACUGAAGAUGAAACGCAGUCCUGAGGACCACGUCGCUUCUCAAAGUCAGUUUCUAGGAGCCCUGGAUACUAUUUAAUUUCAAAGUAUUGAAUGAGGCUUCCAUGGUAUGUGAUGAUGGUAAAAAGAACAGGGGAUAACUUUUGUCACUCUGCAUGUUAGUGAAGUUGACAACCAAGCCUAGCAGCAGUUUGUGACUUGACCAAACCCUGCUUCAGGUGUCUGCCUCUUGGAGUUGCUAAAAAUUGGCUCUUGGAAGUUUAGCAUCUAAAACAAGCCGCUGCAGAGCCCGGGCACUGACAGACUGGAGGCUUUCUCACCCUGCCGAAGGUGGACCACCAUCCACACCUGGGAAGAGGCAAAUGGCAGCACAGCUAUUAGCUAAUGAGCAAAAGCAGGGACACCUGGGAUCAAAAAAUUAAAUGAUAAAUAAAUAAAUACCAGCAAACUAUCUGUUCGUCUCUACCUGGGAGGACCUAGGAAGGCUAAAUAGCACCUUCAUUUCUGGACUUUCCCUUUGAUCGCAGCAGCAGACCCUGGGAAUUAUUCCUUCUUUUCUUACAGACUUUUCAGCACCCACCUUCCAUACCCACUAGUGCAUGCCACCUCAGCCAUCCAAAGCAGUGGGAAGAAAGGACAGAACAUGGCUUUGAGCCUGGUAUGGGACAGGCAUGGAAUAAAGGUGGCCUUCUGUAUUCCUCAAACAAAUGAUCUGUCCUGGAGACAGCACGCCAUGGAGCGUAUGGUUAAGCAAGGGAUCGGGGGGACAUGAGACAUGUUGAACUGCAAGAUUCCACUCCUGACGCCAGAAUUUGUCAAGAGGACUGCAUUGUUGUUUCUCACUGAGGCAUAGGACUGACUGUGGGCCAUUGUUUCUCCAGCUCAAGUGGGCCUGUCUGGUUCGUGUUGGAAGAAUGGGGGUGACAUGCGUGAGUUCCCAAGUAUAAAGGAACUACCGGUUCUAGAAAAGCAUGAGAGUUUAGCCACUAAUGCAGAGUAAAUAAACAUUUUUCACCA
Long non-coding RNA from Bubalus bubalis (water buffalo), 2250 nucleotides. RefSeq lists it as uncharacterized. The transcript has 3 exons. Lineage: Eukaryota; Metazoa; Chordata; Mammalia; Artiodactyla; Bovidae. The record is from RefSeq and is a predicted model, not a curated record.